Long non-coding RNA from Lates calcarifer (barramundi perch), 803 nucleotides. RefSeq lists it as uncharacterized. The record is from RefSeq and is a predicted model, not a curated record. The transcript is spliced from 2 exons. Lineage: Eukaryota; Metazoa; Chordata; Actinopteri; Centropomidae.
AGGCUCGGAGAGGGAGGAGACGUCCGGGAAAGCCAGCGCGGGGAAAAACGAGGGCUGUGCGGCGGUCAGGAGGGCUGACAGGGGCAAGGCAUCCGGUCGAUGAGCUUGGAAAGGAUGGUUGCCAGCAGCCAUCCACAGCACUGUGCCAUAAGCCCGGGGUUGAAGAGGGGAGUGGCGGCGGUUGGGUCUGCUUUUCCUCAUUCUGCGCUACUGUGAGGGAUGGUCCAUGACACACUGCUGUUUUUCUCUGGUGCAGCUCCAGCCGACAGCAUGAGAGAAGCGCCAGAACAGGAAGGAGACAAUCAAUCUGAGUGAUGGUGCAUGAAUUUCACCUCUCUGGUCACAGUCCACACCUGGGACAAAUUCAGAAAAAUGUUAGGCCACUGAGGGUUCCUGGCAAGUCAUCCAAAGGGCAAGCAAGUAAAGUACAUAGCACAUCUGAAGGUUGGAGUGUUCUUAAAUGACAAACAGGAGGAAGAGGACAGGAAGAUAACUUAAGUGUGGACUUAAAGCUGAGCCGAGAGGUCUAAGGACAGGUCACCUCAAGUGUUGUCUGGGUUCUGUAGUGUCUUGUUUUUUAAUCAUGACGUCAUAUUGGUAACAUAAUAGACACAACAUAUGGAUGUGUUUAUGCUGACUGUAAAAUCUAAAUGCUGGGAUUAGCGUAGCUUUAAAAGAAUGAAUCUGAAUUACCACAAACAGAGCAAAACUCAUGUAUUCAAUUAGGGAAUAUCUUUCAUCUGUAUUUCUCAUUACAACACAUGAAAGAUGAUACAAAUAUAUACAUGUGUGUUACAUGGAAA